GGUGCUGCAUGGCUGUCGUCAGCUCGUGUCGUGAGAUGUUGGGUUAAGUCCGUAACGAGCGCAACCCUUGUCCUUAGUUACCAGCACGUUAUGGUGGGCGACUCUAAGGAGACUGCCGGUGCAAACCGGAGGAAGGUGGGGAGUGACGUCAAGUCAUCAUGGCCCUUACGGCCUGGGCUACACACGUGCUACAAUGGUCGGUACAAAGGGUUGCCAAGCCGCGAGGUGGAGCUAAUCCCAUAAAACCGAUCGUAGUCCGGAUCGCAGUCUGCAACUCGACUGCGUGAAGUCGGAAUCGCUAGUAAUCGUGAAUCAGAAUGUCACGGUGAAUACGUUCCCGGGCCUU
Molecule: ribosomal RNA, 346 nt
Filed under: uncultured Pseudomonas sp.
Lineage: Bacteria; Pseudomonadati; Pseudomonadota; Gammaproteobacteria; Pseudomonadales; Pseudomonadaceae
Description: bacterial SSU rRNA
Rfam family: Bacterial small subunit ribosomal RNA
Source: RNAcentral